AGAGUUUGAUCAUGGCUCAGAACGAACGCUGGCGGCAGGCCUAACACAUGCAAGUCGAGCGCCCGCAAGGGAGCGGCAGACGGGUGAGUAACGCGUGGGAACGUGCCCUUUGGUUCGGAAUAUUCCCGGGAAACUGGGGGCAAAACCGGAUAAGCCCUUCGGGGGAAAGUUUACGCCAAAGGAUCGGCCCGCGUUAGAUUAGGUAGUUGGUGGGGUAACGGCCUGCCAAGCCUACGAUCUAUAGCUGAUCUGAGAGGAUGAUCAGCCACACUGGGACUGAGACACGGCCCAGACUCCUACGGGAGGCAGCAGUGGGGAAUCUUAGACAAUGGGCGCAAGCCUGAUCUAGCCAUGCCGCGUGAGCGAUGAAGGCCUUAGGGUUGUAAAGCUCUUUCGUGGGGGAAGAUAAUGACGGUACCCCAAGAAGAAGCCCCGGCUAACUCCGUGCCAGCAGCCGCAGUAAUACGGAGGGGGCUAGCGUUGUUCGGAAUUACUGGGCGUAAAGCGCACGUAGGCGGAGCGGAGAGUCAGGGGUGAAAUCCCGGGGCUCAACCCCGGAACUGCCUUUGAAACUCCCGCUCUUGAGGUCGCGAGAGGUGAGUGGAAUUCCGAGUGUAGAGGUGAAAUUCGUAGAUAUUCGGAGGAACACCAGUGGCGAAGGCGGCUCACUGGACCGUUGCUGACGCUGAGGCGCGAAAGCGUGGGGAGCAAACAGGAUUAGAUACCCCGGUAGUCC
RNAcentral lists this ribosomal RNA (736 nucleotides) under uncultured bacterium. RNAcentral's name for it is "bacterial SSU rRNA". It matches the Rfam family "Bacterial small subunit ribosomal RNA", at positions 8 to 796 of the family's 1533-position model. The record is from RNAcentral.